This 635-nucleotide ribosomal RNA is filed under the name uncultured Allobrachymonas sp. RNAcentral describes it as "bacterial SSU rRNA". It matches the Rfam family "Bacterial small subunit ribosomal RNA", at positions 897 to 1533 of the family's 1533-position model. Lineage: Bacteria; Pseudomonadati; Pseudomonadota; Betaproteobacteria; Burkholderiales; Comamonadaceae. The record is from RNAcentral.
AAACUUAAAUGAAUUGACGGGGACCCGCACAAGCGGUGGAUGAUGUGGUUUAAUUCGAUGCAACGCGAAAAACCUUACCCACCUUUGACAUGGCAGGAAUCCUGAAGAGAUUCGGGAGUGCUCGAAAGAGAACCUGCACACAGGUGCUGCAUGGCUGUCGUCAGCUCGUGUCGUGAGAUGUUGGGUUAAGUCCCGCAACGAGCGCAACCCUUGCCAUUAGUUGCUACGAAAGGGCACUCUAAUGGGACUGCCGGUGACAAACCGGAGGAAGGUGGGGAUGACGUCAAGUCCUCAUGGCCCUUAUAGGUGGGGCUACACACGUCAUACAAUGGCCGGUACAGAGGGUAGCCAACCCGCGAGGGGGAGCCAAUCCCGCAAAGCCGGUCGUAGUCCGGAUCGCAGUCUGCAACUCGACUGCGUGAAGUCGGAAUCGCUAGUAAUCGCGGAUCAGAAUGUCGCGGUGAAUACGUUCCCGGGUCUUGUACACACCGCCCGUCACACCAUGGGAGCGGGUUCUGCCAGAAGUAGUUAGCCUAACCGCAAGGAGGGCGAUUACCACGGCAGGGUUCGUGACUGGGGUGAAGUCGUAACAAGGUAGCCGUAUCGGAAGGUGCGGCUGGAUCACCUCCUUUCUG